AGAGUUUGAUCAUGGCUCAGAGCGAACGCUGGCGGCGUGCUUAACACAUGCAAGUCGAACGCGCAGCAUUCUGUAGCAAUACAGGGCGUGGGCGCGUGGCGAACGGGUGCGUAACACGUGGAUAACCUUCCUUCAGGUGGGGAAUAACCCAGUGAAAAUUGGGCUAAUACCGCAUAACAUGACGAUGCCACAUGGUGUUGUCUUCAAAGCCGCAAGGCGCCAGAAGAGGGAUCCGCGGCCGAUUAGCUUGUUGGCGAGGUAAUGGCUCACCAAGGCAUUGAUCGGUAGCCGGACUGAGAGGUUGGCCGGCCACACUGGAACUGAGACACGGUCCAGACUCCUACGGGAGGCAGCAGUGGGGAAUCUUGCACAAUGGACGAAAGUCUGAUGCAGCAACGCCGCGUGGGGGAUGAAGCUUUUCGGAGUGUAAACCCCUUUCGACCCGGAAGAAUGCCCGCAAGGGCUUGACGGUACGGGUAUAAGAAGCCCCGGCUAACUACGUGCCAGCAGCCGCGGUAAUACGUAGGGGGCCAGCGUUGCUCGGAAUUACUGGGCGUAAAGGGUCCGUAGGCGGUGUGGCAAGUCGGGAGUGAAAUCUCUGGGCUUAACCCAGAGGCUGCUUCCGAAACUGCCAUGCUAGAGUGUGAGAGAGGCGAGUGGAAUUACGGGUGUAGCGGUGAAAUGCGUAGAUAUCCGUAGGAACAUCCGANGCGAAAGGCGGCUCGCUGGAUCACAACUGACGCUGAGGGACGAAAGCUAGGGGAGCAAACAGGAUUAGAUACCCUGGNAGUCCUAGCCNUAAACCAUCAGGACUUGGGGUGUGCCCUGUACGGGGCACGUCCCGUAGCUACGCGUUNAGUCCUG
This 864-nucleotide ribosomal RNA is filed under the name uncultured bacterium. RNAcentral describes it as "bacterial SSU rRNA". It matches the Rfam family "Bacterial small subunit ribosomal RNA", at positions 8 to 869 of the family's 1533-position model. The record is from RNAcentral.